Long non-coding RNA from Myzus persicae (green peach aphid), 179 nucleotides. RefSeq lists it as uncharacterized. The transcript is spliced from 3 exons. The record is from RefSeq and is a predicted model, not a curated record. Lineage: Eukaryota; Metazoa; Arthropoda; Insecta; Hemiptera; Aphididae.
AUUAUUAUUUUCUAUUGUUUUCUUAUAUUGAAUCAAAAUGAGUUUUAUUCAGCAAUAUUUAAUAACGCUUACAUUACUAGUAAUUUCAGUUUGGAUUAUCCCUGCAACUUCUACUGAAGAUGAAUUACUUUUAAAAUAUAUCUGUCAAAAUCUUCAUGGUUUGGCUUCAGGAUUAAACG